This 346-nucleotide ribosomal RNA is filed under the name Chaetospermum camelliae. RNAcentral's name for it is "SSU rRNA". It matches the Rfam family "Eukaryotic small subunit ribosomal RNA", at positions 594 to 945 of the family's 1831-position model. The record is from RNAcentral. Lineage: Eukaryota; Fungi; Basidiomycota; Agaricomycetes; Sebacinales; Sebacinaceae.
AUAGCGUAUAUUAAAGUUGUUGCAGUUAAAAAGCUCGUAGUUGAACUUCAGACCUGGUUGGGUGGUCCGCCUCACGGUGUGUACUGUCUGGCCGGGUCUUACCUCUUGGUGAGCCGGCAUGCCCUUUACUGGGUGUGUCGGGGAACCAGGACUUUUACCUUGAGAAAAUUAGAGUGUUCAAAGCAGGCCUACGCCCGAAUACAUUAGCAUGGCAUAAUAAAAUAGGACUUGCGGUUCUAUUUUGUUGGUUUCUAGAGUCGCAGUAAUGAUUAACAGGGAUAGUUGGGGGCAUUAGUAUUCCAUUGCUAGAGGUGAAAUUCUUGGAUUGACUCAAGACCAACUAUUG